UGCAGUCGAGCGGAUGACAGGAGCUUGCUCCUGAAUUCAGCGGCGGACGGGUGAGUAAUGCCUAGGAAUCUGCCUGGUAGUGGGGGACAACGUUUCGAAAGGAACGCUAAUACCGCAUACGUCCUACGGGAGAAAGCAGGGGACCUUCGGGCCUUGCGCUAUCAGAUGAGCCUAGGUCGGAUUAGCUAGUUGGUGAGGUAAUGGCUCACCAAGGCGACGAUCCGUAACUGGUCUGAGAGGAUGAUCAGUCACACUGGAACUGAGACACGGUCCAGACUCCUACGGGAGGCAGCAGUGGGGAAUAUUGGACAAUGGGCGAAAGCCUGAUCCAGCCAUGCCGCGUGUGUGAAGAAGGUCUUCGGAUUGUAAAGCACUUUAAGUUGGGAGGAAGGGUUGUAGAUUAAUACUCUGCAAUUUUGACGUUACCGACAGAAUAAGCACCGGCUAACUCUGUGCCAGCAGCCGCGGUAAUACAGAGGGUGCAAGCGUUAAUCGGAAUUACUGGGCGUAAAGCGCGCGUAGGUGGUUCGUUAAGUUGGAUGUGAAAUCCCCGGGCUCAACCUGGGAACUGCAUUCAAAACUGUCGAGCUAGAGUAUGGUAGAGGGUGGUGGAAUUUCCUGUGUAGCGGUGAAAUGCGUACAUAUAGGAAGGAACACCAAUGGCGAAGGCGACCACCUGGACUGAUACUGACACUGAGGUGCGAAAGCGUGGGGAGC
RNAcentral lists this ribosomal RNA (717 nucleotides) under Pseudomonas granadensis. RNAcentral describes it as "bacterial SSU rRNA". It matches the Rfam family "Bacterial small subunit ribosomal RNA", at positions 56 to 769 of the family's 1533-position model. Lineage: Bacteria; Pseudomonadati; Pseudomonadota; Gammaproteobacteria; Pseudomonadales; Pseudomonadaceae. The record is from RNAcentral.